GGGCAGAAGUACAAUAUUUGUCAGGGUAUGGCCAGUGACGUAUUUUUUUUAUUGGCCUGCUAUUUUCAAUAAUCAGAUAAACAUGCAAAAUCUUGACUUAACUUGAACGAAAAAGAUAUUGUGAUUUACCCACUUCCUACUCUCAUAAUUAUUUUAUCCUAAUUAGUUCUGUCUCCAAUGUCGCAAUAAAACUUAAUUCAGAUAAAAAAAAAAAAUGUUUCAUUGCGCAACUAAUUUGAUAACUUUUUGGAUACCUUGUACAUUAUCAUUUUGUAAUAAAUAUUGCGUGUGUCUUAUCACAUUUUAAAUGUGCAGAGAUAUGCGAUUAUAGUAGACGCAAAUGAGAUGCAGCAUAUAAACUAGUGUAUUUUGGUCUAUAUGCCAUUGUGUGCUUCUUCGUUACAUAUUUGUUUGUUGUUUUAGUGAUUUUAAGAUUAUAACACAAUGUUGGCUGCUGUAUCUUUAACAUUUUUACCUAUUGUGUAUGUUUGUUUUGUUCACGCAUCAUUGUCAAUAUAAUGGAAUUUGAUGCGACUUUCAUACAAGUGAGAGGUUUAGCUAGCUAUAAAACCAUGUUUAAUUCACCACUUUCUACAUAAGAAAAUGCCUGUACCAAGUCAGGAAUAUGACAGUUGUUAUCCAUUCGA
Molecule: long non-coding RNA, 647 nt
Filed under: Mytilus galloprovincialis (Mediterranean mussel)
Lineage: Eukaryota; Metazoa; Mollusca; Bivalvia; Mytilida; Mytilidae
Source: RNAcentral